RNAcentral lists this ribosomal RNA (938 nucleotides) under uncultured marine bacterium. RNAcentral's name for it is "bacterial SSU rRNA". It matches the Rfam family "Bacterial small subunit ribosomal RNA", at positions 55 to 1037 of the family's 1533-position model. The record is from RNAcentral.
AUGCAAGUCGAACGCAGUAGCAAUACUGAGUGGCAAACGGGUGAGUAUAAUGUGGGAAUCUGCCUUUUGGUUUGGAAUAACACGGGGAAACUUGUGCUAAUACCGAAUAAGCCCUUACGGGGAAAGUUUUAACGCCGAAAGAUGAGCCCGCACUUGAUUAGCUAGUUGGUAAGGUAAUAGCUUACCAAGGCAAUGAUCAAUAGCUGUUCUUAGAGGAAGACCAGCCACAUUGGGACUGAGACACGGCCCAGACUCCUACGGGAGGCAGCAGUGGGGAAUCUUGCACAAUGGGGGAAACCCUGAUGCAGCGAUGCCGCAUGAGUGAAGAAGGCCUUUGGGUUGUAAAACUCUUUCGUCGGGGAAGAAAAUGACUGUACCCGAAUAAGAAGGUCCGGCUAACUUCGUGCCAGCAGCCGCGGUAAUACGAAGGGACCUAGCGUAGUUCGGAAUUACUGGGCUUAAAGAGCUCGUAGGUGGUUAAAAAAGUUGAUGGUGAAAUCCCAAGGCUCAACCUUGGAACUGCCAUCAAAACUUUUUAGCUAGAGUGUGAUAGAGGUAAGUGGAAUUUCUAGUGUAGAGGUGAAAUUCGUAGAUAUUAGAAAGAACACCAAAUGCGAAGGCAACUUACUGGGUCACUACUGACACUGAGGAGCGAAAGCAUGGGUAGCGAAGAGGAUUAGAUACCCUCGUAGUCCAUGCCGUAAACGAUGUGUGCUAGACGUUGGAAAUAUAUUUUUCAGUGUCGCAGCGAAAGCAUUAAGCACACCGCCUGGGGAGUACGACCGCAAGGUUAAAACUCAAAUGAAUUGACGGGGACCCGCACAAGCAGUGGAGCAUGUGGUUUAAUUCGAAGAUACGCGCAGAACCUUACCAACACUUGACAUGUUCGUCGCGAGCCUAAGAGAUUAGGCUUUUCAGUUUGGCUGGACGAAACACAG